RNAcentral lists this ribosomal RNA (853 nucleotides) under Acinetobacter sp. AKB-2008-RU5. RNAcentral's name for it is "bacterial SSU rRNA". It matches the Rfam family "Bacterial small subunit ribosomal RNA", at positions 17 to 864 of the family's 1533-position model. The record is from RNAcentral. Lineage: Bacteria; Pseudomonadati; Pseudomonadota; Gammaproteobacteria; Moraxellales; Moraxellaceae.
UCCUGGCUCAGAUUGAACGCUGGCGGCAGGCUUAACACAUGCAAGUCGAGCGGGGAAGGGUAGCUUGCUACCUGACCUAGCGGCGGACGGGUGAGUAAUGCUUAGGAAUCUGCCUAUUAGUGGGGGACAACAUUCCGAAAGGAAUGCUAAUACCGCAUACGCCCUACGGGGGAAAGCAGGGGAUCUUCGGACCUUGCGCUAAUAGAUGAGCCUAAGUCAGAUUAGCUAGUUGGUGGGGUAAAGGCCUACCAAGGCGACGAUCUGUAGCGGGUCUGAGAGGAUGAUCCGCCACACUGGGACUGAGACACGGCCCAGACUCCUACGGGAGGCAGCAGUGGGGAAUAUUGGACAAUGGGGGGAACCCUGAUCCAGCCAUGCCGCGUGUGUGAAGAAGGCCUUUUGGUUGUAAAGCACUUUAAGCGAGGAGGAGGCUACCGAGAUUAAUACUCUUGGAUAGUGGACGUUACUCGCAGAAUAAGCACCGGCUAACUCUGUGCCAGCAGCCGCGGUAAUACAGAGGGUGCGAGCGUUAAUCGGAUUUACUGGGCGUAAAGCGUGCGUAGGCGGCUUUUUAAGUCGGAUGUGAAAUCCCUGAGCUUAACUUAGGAAUUGCAUUCGAUACUGGGAAGCUAGAGUAUGGGAGAGGAUGGUAGAAUUCCAGGUGUAGCGGUGAAAUGCGUAGAGAUCUGGAGGAAUACCGAUGGCGAAGGCAGCCAUCUGGCCUAAUACUGACGCUGAGGUACGAAAGCAUGGGGAGCAAACAGGAUUAGAUACCCUGGUAGUCCAUGCCGUAAACGAUGUCUACUAGCCGUUGGGGNCUUUGAGGCUUUAGUGGCGCAGCUAACGCGAUAAG